RNAcentral lists this ribosomal RNA (301 nucleotides) under uncultured bacterium. RNAcentral describes it as "partial 16S ribosomal RNA". It matches the Rfam family "Bacterial small subunit ribosomal RNA", at positions 509 to 807 of the family's 1533-position model. The record is from RNAcentral.
CAGUAGCCACGGGAAUACGUUGGGCGCAAGCGUUGUCCGGAAUUAUUGGGCGUAAAGAGCUCGUAGGCGGUCUGUCGCGUCUGGUGUGAAAUCCCGAGGCUCAACCUCGGGCUUGCAUCGGGUACGGGCAGACUAGAGUGCGGUAGGGGAGACUGGAAUUCCUGGUGUAGCGGUGGAAUGCGCAGAUAUCAGGAGGAACACCGAUGGCGAAGGCAGGUCUCUGGGCCGCAACUGACGCUGAGAAGCGAAAGCAUGGGGAGCGAACAGGAUUAGAGACCCCCGUAGUCCCUGUCUCUUAUAC